GCUUGCUGGGGGGAUUAGUGGCGAACGGGUGAGUAACACGUGAGUAACCUGCCCUUGACUCUGGGAUAAGCCUGGGAAACUGGGUCUAAUACCGGAUAUGACUCCUCAUCGCAUGGUGGGGGGUGGAAAGCUUUUGUGGUUUUGGAUGGACUCGCGGCCUAUCAGCUUGUUGGUGGGGUAAUGGCCUACCAAGGCGACGACGGGUAGCCGGCCUGAGAGGGUGACCGGCCACACUGGGACUGAGACACGGCCCAGACUCCUACGGGAGGCAGCAGUGGGGAAUAUUGCACAAUGGGCGGAAGCCUGAUGCAGCGACGCCGCGUGAGGGAUGACGGCCUUCGGGUUGUAAACCUCUUUCAGUAGGGAAGAAGCCGCCAGGUGACGGUACCUGCAGAAGAAGCGCCGGCUAACUACGUGCCAGCAGCCGCGGUAAUACGUAGGGCGCAAGCGUUAUCCGGAAUGAUUGGGCGUAAA
RNAcentral lists this ribosomal RNA (474 nucleotides) under Arthrobacter sp. BL19. RNAcentral's name for it is "bacterial SSU rRNA". It matches the Rfam family "Bacterial small subunit ribosomal RNA", at positions 78 to 564 of the family's 1533-position model. Lineage: Bacteria; Bacillati; Actinomycetota; Actinomycetes; Micrococcales; Micrococcaceae. The record is from RNAcentral.